Molecule: ribosomal RNA, 253 nt
Filed under: uncultured prokaryote
Description: partial 16S ribosomal RNA
Rfam family: Bacterial small subunit ribosomal RNA
Source: RNAcentral
UACGUAGGGGGCAAGUGUUGUCCGGAGUUAUUGGGCGUAAAGGGCACGCAGGCAGUCCAUUAAGUUCAGGGUGACAGUCAUCAGCUUAACUGAUGAAGUGCCUUGAAAACUGGUAGACUUGAGAGCGAGAGAGGGACACGGAACUCCGGGUGGAGCAGUGAAAUGCGUAGAGAUCCGGAAGAACACCAAAGGCGAAGGCAGUGUCCUGGCUCGUUUCUGACGCUCAGGUGCGAAAGCGAGGGGAGCGAACGGG